Molecule: ribosomal RNA, 470 nt
Filed under: uncultured bacterium
Lineage: Bacteria
Description: bacterial SSU rRNA
Rfam family: Bacterial small subunit ribosomal RNA
Source: RNAcentral
GGGGCAACCUGGCGACGAGUGGCGAACGGGUGAGUAAAGCAUCGGAACAUGCCCAGUAGUGGGGGAUAGCCCGGCGAAAGCCGGAUUAAUACCGCAUACGACCUGUGGGUGAAAGCGGGGGAUCGCAAGACCUCGCGCUAUUGGAGUGGCCGAUGUCAGAUUAGGUAGUUGGUGGGGUAAAGGCCUACCAAGCCGACGAUCUGUAGCUGGUCUGAGAGGACGACCAGCCACACUGGGACUGAGACACGGCCCAGACUCCUACGGGAGGCAGCAGUGGGGAAUUUUGGACAAUGGGGGCAACCCUGAUCCAGCCACGCCGCGUGCGGGAAGAAGGCCUUCGGGUUGUAAACCGCUUUUGUCAGGGAAGAAAUCCUUUGAGCUAAUACCUCGGGGGGAUGACGGUACCUGAAGAAUAAGCACCGGCUAACUACGUGCCAGCAGCCGCGGUAAUACGUAGGGUGCAAGCGUUA